ACAUUAUCUAUUUUGGGUAUUUGUUGGAUUAAUUUAAUUUGUUGUAUAAUAACAUUAGUAUGAACAGUUGCAUCAUUUUCCAUUUGUACGCUCAAAUUUUAAACACGUGUGUACGUAUGUAAAGCUUGUAACUACACCUUUAUAGCGGUUAUAUGUAUAUAAUUACAUAAUGCCUUGAUUGAUUUCUUGUGAUCCAAUUUGUUUUAAUUAUGAAUUAUAAUUAUUAAACUAUGUUGAGUUAAGAUUAAAAUGACAUUGUGAUAUUGAAUGGAUGCAAUUUUAUCACAUCCCUAAGAACUAUACUGGAG
This 308-nucleotide long non-coding RNA is filed under the name Panax ginseng (ginseng). RNAcentral describes it as "long non-coding RNA (PGIN_LNC005262)". The record is from RNAcentral. Lineage: Eukaryota; Viridiplantae; Streptophyta; Magnoliopsida; Apiales; Araliaceae.